RNAcentral lists this ribosomal RNA (462 nucleotides) under uncultured bacterium. RNAcentral describes it as "partial 16S ribosomal RNA". It matches the Rfam family "Bacterial small subunit ribosomal RNA", at positions 28 to 506 of the family's 1533-position model. The record is from RNAcentral.
GAUGAACGCUGACAGAAUGCUUAACACAUGCAAGUCUUUGGCGAAUCUGUGCUUGCACAGGCUAGCCAAGGCGGACGGGUGAGUAGCGCGUAAAGAACUUGCCCUGCAGACAGGGAUAACGGACGGAAACGACUGAUAACACCUGAUACAGUUGCCGGCACGCAUGUGCCUGGCAAUGAAAAGAGAUGCUGCAGGAGAGCUUUGCGUCCUAUUAGCUUGUUGGUGAGGUGACGGCUCACCAAGGCGAUGAUAGGUAGCCGGCCUGAGAGGGGGAACGGCCACAAGGGGACUGAGAUACGGCCCUUACUCCUACGGGAGGCAGCAGUGGGGAAUAUUGGACAAUGGGGGCAACCCUGAUCCAGCAAUUCUGUGUGCACGAAGAAGGUUUUCGGAUGGUAAAGUGCUUUCAGCAGGGAAGAAGAAAGUGACGGUACCUGCAGAAGAAGCGACGGCUAAAUACGU